This is an RNA transcript of Xenopus tropicalis (tropical clawed frog), 3397 nucleotides long. It is a transcript of the gene named CUGBP, Elav-like family member 4, with no coding region annotated. Lineage: Eukaryota; Metazoa; Chordata; Amphibia; Anura; Pipidae. The record is from RefSeq and is marked validated. The transcript has 14 exons.
GGAAAGGACACAGAUCCUGUCUGUUCAAUGUAUAAAGAAAAGCCCCCGAUCAGAGCAGGAGAGAGAGGGGGAGUGUGAGAGAGCGGCCGAGGGGGACACACAGAGCGCUACAGAGAGACAGCCGAGAGGAGCCUCUAUGUAUAUAAAGAUGGCUACGGUAGCGAACGGGCAGCCAGACAAUAGCAGCCUCAGCAGCAACCCGACCGGGCACAUGAACGGAUUAACCCACAGCCCCGGCGGCGCCGCCACCAUCCCCAUGAAGGACCACGAUGCCAUCAAGCUCUUCAUCGGGCAGAUCCCCCGCAACCUGGACGAGAAGGACCUGAAGCCUCUGUUCGAGGAGUUCGGCAAGAUCUACGAGCUGACGGUGCUGAAGGACAGGUUCACCGGCAUGCACAAAGGCUGCGCCUUCCUUACAUACUGUGAAAGAGAAUCUGCACUAAAGGCUCAGAGCGCUCUGCACGAGCAGAAGACACUGCCAGGGAUGAACAGACCAAUCCAGGUGAAGCCGGCGGACAGCGAGAGCCGAGGAGAAGACAGAAAACUCUUUGUGGGCAUGCUCAAUAAGCAGCAGUCAGAGGACGACGUGCGCCGGCUAUUCGAAGCUUUUGGGAACAUCGAAGAGUGCACAAUCCUGCGAGGGCCCGACGGGAACAGCAAAGGGUGUGCGUUUGUGAAAUAUUCAUCGCACGCGGAAGCACAGGCAGCUAUCAACGCUUUGCACGGGAGCCAGACAAUGCCGGGGGCCUCCUCGAGCCUAGUGGUGAAGUUUGCAGACACAGACAAGGAGCGCACAAUGAGACGGAUGCAGCAAAUGGCGGGCCAGAUGGGCAUGUUCAAUCCCAUGGCUAUUCAGUUUGGAGCUUAUGGUGCCUACGCUCAAGCACUGAUGCAGCAGCAAGCCGCCAUCAUGGCAUCCGUAGCACAAGGAGGUUACUUGAAUCCCAUGGCGGCCUUUGCAGCGGCCCAGAUGCAGCAGAUGGCGGCCCUCAACAUGAACGGCCUGGCAGCGGCCCCCAUGACGCCAACAUCAGGUGGAAGCACACCCCCGGGUAUCACUGCACCAGCUGUGCCUAGCAUUCCAUCGCCAAUCGGGGUGAAUGGCUUUACUGGCAUCCCAGCCCAGGCUAACGGUCAGCCUGCCGCAGAAGCUGUAUUUGCUAAUGGAAUCCACCCUUACCCAGCACAGAGUCCCACCGCAGCAGACCCCUUGCAGCAAGCCUACGCCGGAGUACAGCAGUAUGCAGGUCCUGCCUACCCUGCUGCUUAUGGUCAGAUCAGUCAAGCCUUUCCACAGCCGCCUCCCAUGAUUCCACAGCAGCAGAGAGAAGGACCCGAGGGCUGCAACCUGUUUAUCUACCAUCUGCCCCAGGAAUUUGGGGAUGCUGAGCUGAUGCAGAUGUUCCUGCCUUUCGGUAAUGUCAUCUCCUCGAAAGUGUUUGUGGAUCGGGCGACAAACCAAAGUAAAUGCUUUGGUUUUGUGAGUUUUGACAAUCCUGCCAGUGCUCAAGCCGCCAUCCAGGCCAUGAACGGCUUCCAGAUUGGCAUGAAGAGGCUCAAGGUGCAACUGAAACGACCGAAGGACGCCAACCGCCCUUACUGAGACUCGGCGAGAGCCUCCGAAACAAGGACUAGCACAGACCCAACACGGUCUCGCGCCGAAAAAGUUCACGUAAUGACGUGAGAGCGGAGAAAAGAGCCCCCCAGUCCGGCAGGAACUAAAUGGGCCGUAUUUUAACAAUACAACAUACAUAUAUAAAUAUAUAUGAUCGAAAAAUGCACCGGAACACAACUUUGACAUAUCAGCAAAGUACCAAUCACGCUGAAGACUUUAGACUUUUCGCUCUUUGAUUGUUGAGACUGUAACAUUUCUUCGAUGAAAAGUAUCACGUCUACUUCCGUGGAAGGAAUUUCAAGUCGGGAACCAUCGAGACGGGAUCGAGACGGAUCGGCAAUUUCCGAACAGACACCGAUAAAACCAACACGAGAAAAAAAAAAUCAAAAGGCUUUUUCUUCAAACAGGAAAUCUGACAAGGAGUGCCUGGUUGCCACCAUGAAUUCCGUUGCUAUGCGUGACGCCAUAGCGACUGUUACUAGAAGCAUUGUAUCUGUCAUUCCUUAGCUAUUUAGGGACCAAAGGACCAAACUUUUUAAGCAGACUUGUAGCUGUAUGUAAAAUAUGGAAUUCACUUCCUACAUCUGUUCCUAAAACAGUCUGGGGGGGGCAAUUAUAUGAAAUAUGUAAAAAAUGCUUCAAAUGCUUUUAAAAAAAAAAUGGCAAGAUAAUAGUUAUUUGAUACUACGGAAGGUUCUUUGGUUACAUUAAUUCAAUUAUGAAAAAUUUCCUAUGGUUUUUCUGUAUAUUAUGUAAGGAAUAAGCGAUUGGGGGUGAUGGAAAGGUUCAAAAACUGCAAAAAAAAAAAGGAACGAAAAAUGGAAAAAAGUUUGAAAAAAAAAAACCGAUAAAAAUCCAUUAGAACGACGGUCGUAGUGCAAAGGUUUGUAAAUGCUUCUAUCCCCAUUUAAAGAAUCCUAAUAGUUGUACAGAAUUUAACAGAAUAAAAAAAAAAAGUUUAACGUACCUAUAUAAUAGAAAAAAAAAAAUUAGAGAGCAAAAAAUUGUAAAAAAAAAUGCAAAAAAAAGUAAAUAGACGUUAGCGUUCUUGCUAAGAGAAAGAUGUUGUAGAACUGUAAUUUUUGUAGAGUUUAGACUUAAGCAUAAAUUCCUACUCUUUGCCAAUUGCAUAACGUUAUCGAGGAGGAGGAGGAGGAGCCGAGACGGCAGCUUCUAACCGCGAGCAUUCCAUUUCCGACUCAAACCAUAACGAAAAAAAAAACUCGAAUUCUCGUAAAACGAUGCAACGAGCUCUGUCUUUUCAAUUGCGAGUUCCAACCUGAAGAAGGACACGCCUACCGCUUCAUCCCUAACCUGCUGUUUGCUGACCCCUCCCCCCCUCAUCCUCUGCUUUAGUAGUUUCCAUAAUUGUUCUAGACCUUCAGGGCAAACGUUAGCCUAGAACCUUAAUAUUGAAAAAAAAAUAAUAAAUAAAAAAAAAAAUCGGAAAAAAAACGAUAAAAACACGAAAAAAAAAAACAAAAAAUAUAUACAAUCUUUGAAGAAUUUCUGAAACUGUUUACAAGGAAUUUUGAAAAACAGGGGAUACGUUUAAAAAAUAAAUAAAAAAAAAACGACGAUGCUGGCUCUGUUUUUCUGUAAAUAAAUUUGCAUAUUUUGUAGGACUUUUAAUUGUAAUGAUAGAGAAAAAAAAAAACAAAAACAAGGAAAAAUACUAUUUAAAUGAAAGCACGAUAUUUAUCUUUGGUAAUUGACUUUAGAGCAGUUUAAAAAAAAGAAAAGUUAAAAAAUAAAAAAAAUGUUGCUUUAGAAAAAAAAAAA